AUGCUUCCAGUUCCAGUCCUGCAUCGCUUCGUUCUGUGGAGGGUCGUGACUAGUUCUGUCUUCGUCUGUCACGGCAUAGCUGUACGUCGGUGCUGGAUGGAUGCCAACGUAUGGGAGCGAAGGCCUGUGUGGAAAGGAAAAGAAGAUCUUGAGAGCGGGAGUGGCUGUCAAAGCUAAGUAUCUGCUGACGCGUUCGAUGGUCAGAAGUAUUUGUGCUGUUGAGGCUCCUUGUUUAGGGAUGGGAGUCCUCUAAACUCUGCUCGUUCUUAACGGGUGUGUGAGGGAGCUCAUUGUAUGAAUGGAGUGUGUUUCCCCUGGAGGAAUGCUGAUUUCUGGCAGAUUUUCCUAACUAGAGAUGCUCUGUUCUCAGUUCUUCUCUCUUACAUGGCACUGGAUUUGCAUGACAGGUCACCACUUCAUCCUUUGUCCAUCUUCUAAAUGGUUGUGGUUUUCCGAGGAGGAUGUGAGCAUCCUAGUUAGCGAUGCCUCCCUGUGGCGGAGGGAGAGGGGGAGGGCUACCAGUAUUUUAGAAGCGUAGCCAUUUUCCAUGUGGAUGAAAGUGUUCUCUGGGGGGGCGGGGUGUAAUAUGUAGUAGGUGUUCCCUCUCAAGGAAGCCGUAUGCAGGUGAGGUCAUCUUUCAUAUUGUGUAGUUGGGAGCUUUGCGAGUAGGUUUUCAGUCAAGCUUUGUAUUUGCAGAUGCGUCCAUAUCUGGUACUGCAUCACCUCGUUCUGUGGAGGGUUGUGACCACUUCUAUCUUCGUCUGCCACGGCAUAGAUGUAUGUCUGUGCUGAAUGGAUGCCAAUGUAUGGGAGCGAAGGCCUGUGUGAAAAGGAGAUUGGGAGCGGCCGUCAAAGGGGGAUCUGAGUCCAGAACUGAGGGAAUGGGCUGUGGCAAGUGCUUGGUUUACAUGGUUCCUGGUAAUGGUGGUGCCAGUUGGAGCAGAGGAACCGCUUGCAUCCAUGAGGUACUUAAAAGGCUUUGGGAGGUGCAGGUUAUGAAAGAAUGUUGUGCAAGGCGUGUCAGUGGAGGAUCAGAGUCUUCUCUGUUCCUGAGAUGA
Molecule: long non-coding RNA, 1058 nt
Filed under: Chrysemys picta bellii (western painted turtle)
Lineage: Eukaryota; Metazoa; Chordata; Testudines; Emydidae
Description: lncRNA (ENSCPBG00000018274.1)
Source: RNAcentral